Molecule: ribosomal RNA, 301 nt
Filed under: uncultured bacterium
Lineage: Bacteria
Description: partial 16S ribosomal RNA
Rfam family: Bacterial small subunit ribosomal RNA
Source: RNAcentral
CAGCCGCCGCGGGAACACAGAGGGUGCGAGCGUUAAUCGGAUUUACUGGGCGUAAAGCGUGCGUAGGCGGCUUUUUAAGUCGGAUGUGAAAUCCCUGAGCUUAACUUAGGAAUUGCAUUCGAUACUGGGAAGCUAGAGUAUGGGAGAGGAUGGUAGAAUUCCAGGUGUAGCGGUGAAAUGCGUAGAGAUCUGGAGGAAUACCGAUUGCGAAGGCAGCCAUCUGGCCUAAUACUGACGCUGAGGUACGAAAGCAUGGGGAGCAAACAGGAUUAGAUACCCCAGUAGUCCCUGUCUCUUAUAC